Phymastichus coffea is the source of this 1058-nucleotide long non-coding RNA. RefSeq lists it as uncharacterized. The transcript is spliced from 3 exons. The record is from RefSeq and is a predicted model, not a curated record. Lineage: Eukaryota; Metazoa; Arthropoda; Insecta; Hymenoptera; Eulophidae.
UGACUACAUGUUCCCGCUCCAAUUUUAUUCAACGCAUACGUGCAAUUCGAACAAUCAUCGUUAACAAAUGUAUCACAGGCAAUGGUUGCCAUGUGAAAGAAAGCAAAGCCAGCUAGGAACUUCUGGCCAGGGAACUUACGAGCAACUUGGUUAUAUCUAUUCAAAGCAAAAGACUUUAGAGAUGCUACAAAGAGUUUACAAUGAGGAUGUCGAGGAUGAUAUUCUGACCAAGAUACUGCGGAAUGCUGAUGAGGAUUAUGAGUACAAAGUGGAUCUUGACUCAGACGAUGAAAAUCUGCGACUUCUUUAGGAAAACGUCUGAAAAACAUCAACUUGGAUAAUGCUGAUGAAUUGCGGUCUGCACUAACACCAUCAGAGAGACAAGACUUUGAAGCAAUGAUCAGUAGUGGAGAGGCUUUAAAGUUACUUCCUCAGUGGAAUCCUUGGUGGAGGUACACUACUAAAGAAAAGCUGUUUCAAGAUUUAACCAACAACGAUCAGGACCAAACCUUUUCAGGUAAAUUGAAUACUAUUUAAAUGAGAUUUCAUGAAAUAUUUUCUUUAGUGCCUCUUUAUAGGUGAUGUUCAUUUUAACAUUUAUCAGUCCUUCAGUUUCAUUAGAGAACCACAUUAUGCAUUUCGAAAAAUUAUUGCUGUCUACAUUUUCUAUGUUUAGACGGACAAUACGAAACGCUACCGGCACGUAGCGACGAAAAUCGUUUUUCAUGAUAUACUUAAUGUUGAAUUUCAUGUUUUCAUUCAAUACUUUAUCCUGAAUCUCAUCAAUUGGAGGAAGCGGGUGUACAGCAUUGGGAACAAUGGAGGACAACAAUGCUAUCACUAACAACUAUAGCAUUAACAAAUGGUCUUUAUGGCAAACAUAUUUGUUUCGCAGUGUCUGGCCAACAAAGAAGAAUUUUAUCAACGUAUCUCUGAAGAAAUUGAAAAUAUCGCUGGAAAAACGUUCGUCUCAGGUCAUUGACACCAAGGACCUGCUUGACGAAUGGCAUGCUGCUUGCGUAACCAGUAGACACCUGUGGAAAGACGCCAAAGAUGAA